Molecule: ribosomal RNA, 460 nt
Filed under: uncultured Prevotella sp.
Lineage: Bacteria; Pseudomonadati; Bacteroidota; Bacteroidia; Bacteroidales; Prevotellaceae
Description: bacterial SSU rRNA
Rfam family: Bacterial small subunit ribosomal RNA
Source: RNAcentral
CCUACGGGUGGCAGCAGUGAGGAAUAUUGGUCAAUGGGCGGAAGCCUGAACCAGCCAAGUAGCGUGCAGGAUGACGGCCCUAUGGGUUGUAAACUGCUUUUAUGCGGGGAUAAAGGGACUCACGUGUGGGUUUUUGCAGGUACCGCAUGAAUAAGGACCGGCUAAUUCCGUGCCAGCAGCCGCGGUAAUACGGAAGGUCCGGGCGUUAUCCGGAUUUAUUGGGUUUAAAGGGAGCGUAGGCCGCCCCUUAAGCGUGGUGUGAAAUGCGGGUGCUCAACAUCCGACUUGCAGCGCGAACUGGGGGGCUUGAGUGCGCCGAAAGUAGGCGGAAUUCGUGGUGUAGCGGUGAAAUGCUGAGAUAUCACGAAGAACUCCGAUUGCGAAGGCAGCUUACUGUAGCGCAACUGACGCUGAUGCUCGAAAGCGUGGGUAUCGAACAGGAUUAGAUACCCCAGUAGUC